AGGAACUUGAACUGUCAGACCCAUUUUGAUAUUUAUUAUCUGCCCCCAUUUUCUCUUCACAUGCUAGCAAAAGAGCUAGCUUUGAUGGAGUAAAUUCCCUCGCACGAUUAUUAGUUCCAAAGGACAAGGUUGCUGCUGAACAAUUCAUGGCAGGAGAACUAUUAUGCUUAUGGAUAAUCUUUUGAAUUUUUGUCAUCUUAGGUUUCUCAGUUGAACAAUUGUCAUCAACAUCUUGAUUAUUACAAUUCCCUUCUUCAAUGACACUUGAAGCCCUUUUUCUUUUGAGCACUUCAGUCUCACGUUCAGCAACUGCUUGCCCUGAUUGUGCCUGGUCCCCAUGUGCUGUGAUAGCCAUCUCUUUUGUACCCAAAAAUUCACACGGAGAAGAGUCAUCAUCACUAUCCACAAUCUCAACAAUGUCACCUAGUACAGGUCUUCCACUGCCUAUUAUUUUCAAAUCUCGAUCUCCAUCCUCUAAUAAAGGACAACUAGAGCUGCCAUCUGCAUCCUCUGGUAUAAGACAACUAAGGCUGCCAUCUGCCUUCAUAUGCGCAUUUUCAUUCUCCUCCAAUUCAAUCUUCACAGUUUUAAGAUUUUCACCACUCUUCUCAUUUUCAAUAACAGCCUUCUCUGCCUUCUCUCCCAAAAAAUCCCUAGAAACCCUAGCACUUGUGUCCCUCGAUGGCUCAAGGCUCUUCAAGAACACCGUAUCUUUUUCCAAGAAUGAAACUCGUGGCUCCAGUUCAUCAAAUCUCCUCUUAUAAAUCUCUGCCUCCGUCUCAGCUUUCAACUUAGCACAUUCUAAUUCACAAUUCUUUCUCUUAAGCUCAAUUAUUGUUUGCUGAUUCACUGCAUCAGCUUCUAAUCUCUCAUUUAAAUCAUUUAGCUCUUGG
RNAcentral lists this unclassified non-coding RNA (893 nucleotides) under Hevea brasiliensis (rubber tree). The record is from RNAcentral. Lineage: Eukaryota; Viridiplantae; Streptophyta; Magnoliopsida; Malpighiales; Euphorbiaceae.